Molecule: ribosomal RNA, 157 nt
Filed under: Hebeloma erumpens
Lineage: Eukaryota; Fungi; Basidiomycota; Agaricomycetes; Agaricales; Hymenogastraceae
Also listed under: 4 other names
Description: 5.8S ribosomal RNA
Rfam family: 5.8S ribosomal RNA (bases 1-134)
About the family: 5.8S ribosomal RNA (5.8S rRNA) is a component of the large subunit of the eukaryotic ribosome. It is transcribed by RNA polymerase I as part of the 45S precursor that also contains 18S and 28S rRNA.
Source: RNAcentral
UUGGCUCUCGCAUCGAUGAAGAACGCAGCGAAAUGCGAUAAGUAAUGUGAAUUGCAGAAUUCAGUGAAUCAUCGAAUCUUUGAACGCACCUUGCGCUCCUUGGUAUUCCGAGGAGCAUGCCUGUUUGAGUGUCAUUAAAUUCUCAACCUUUAUUAGC